This 562-nucleotide ribosomal RNA is filed under the name Lobotes surinamensis (Atlantic tripletail). RNAcentral describes it as "partial 16S ribosomal RNA". It matches the Rfam family "Bacterial large subunit ribosomal RNA", at positions 590 to 1344 of the family's 2925-position model. The record is from RNAcentral. Lineage: Eukaryota; Metazoa; Chordata; Actinopteri; Lobotiformes; Lobotidae.
GAUUAACACUCGUACCUUUUGCAUCAUGAUUUAGCCAGUAAAACCCAAGCAAAGAGAAUUUUAGUUUGACCCCCCGAAACUAGAUGAGCUACUCCAAGGCAGCCUGACUUACAGGGCAAACCCGUCUCUGUGGCAAAAGAGUGGGAAGAACUUCGAGUAGGAGUGACAGACCUAUCGAAUCUAGUUAUAGCUGGUUGCCUGAAUAAUGGAUAGGAGUUCAGCCUUUGGGCUUCUUUACUCACUAAGCAUCUUACAAUUCACGUACUAUGAAGCGGACAACAAGAAACCCAUAGAGUUAGUCAAAGGAGGUACAGCUCCUUUGACCUAAGACACAACUUUUCAGACUGGGUAAAGAUCAUAACAACCCUAAAGGUAGGGUGUUUUUGUGGGCCUAAAAGCAGCCACCCCUAUAAAAAGCGUUAAAGCUUAAACAUCAACCCAACCUAAUUAUUCCGACAUUAUAAUCUAAACCCCUCCGCACUAUCAGGCCUUCCCAUGCAACCAUGGGAGAGACCAUGCUAAUAUGAGUAAUAAGAGGGCUUCCGCCCCUCUCCCCGCACAC